AUGAGGGAGAAGCGCCUCUUUACGCUGUGGAAGCCAACCUACAACACCUUAUUUCUGGUUAUCCCUGGCUUUUGGACUCUCUGCACCCGCUCGUUCAGAAUUUCGUUCUCCACGAGCUUCACCUACACCCCCCGCCUCUACCGCUUGCUUGCUCGCUUCAACGGAGGACGUGUUGUCCGAACCGCCGGACGAGGAUUACCCGGCCCGUCGGAGCCAUCUCCAAAAAAGAAGCGACGUUCGCGCCAUCGGCGGGGCACCCCACAGCCGGCUGUCAGGACAUAUAAACAACCGGCAGUGGUGAGUGAGAGGGACACUGUUUCUGCUUUGUCGGAUACAAGGGCUAUUUAUUCUGGGGCUAUUUUUUGCAUUUCCACCUUAGAUACUAGUGUUUUUUCUGUUUCAUCUAUGGCUAAAGCUUCAAAGACUGUGUUUCUUGAGCCCAUGUCCUGUGUUAAUGACUGUGUCCACUCUGCUGCUGCCAAGCCUGGAAUUACUGAGCCUGGCAUUAUGAAUUCAGAGAAUGAAAACAUUUGGGACUCUUUUUCAUCUGCACUGGUCUUUUCAGGGGAAGCUGUAAACCUCACUGAAACAGUUCUUCCUGAUCAUGUUCUCACAUCCACACUUUCACCACAGUUUAACGUUGGGUCUGCAAUUCAGUUAGCUUUUCAGUCAGCAGGCCAGCUGCCCUCAGUUCAGUCAGCAGGCCAGCUGCCCUCAGUUCUGUUGGCCUCUCCACCACCUAUUACGCCUUCACUACAGUCGUCUCCGCUACCUGUAGGUCAAUCUGUAGCCGCUCCGCUGCCUAUAGCUCAGCUGCCACUUGUUCAUCUGUCUGCUCACUCACCCAUUCAGCCACCAUCCUCACUGUCUCAUUCUAAGCAGAGAACACACUUCACCACAACAUCUGCUGGUUCUCUUAAGCUGGCCACCUCAGAGACAGUUACUCCCUCUAGGGCCUCCCCAGAGGCUGGGUGUCACUCACCAGCCAACUCUGGACCCCUAGAGGCCAAGACGCCAGCGCCAGCAGCUCCCCCGGAGAACUCACCAGAACAGUCUCGGCUCUCAGCACCCCCUGAGAGUUCAAGUGAGUUCACCCAUCUGCCUCCGUCCUCUGAGUGCAUUGGGGAACACUUUCAGCCCUCUGAGGACUGCAUCCCACUGUUACUGCCUGAGUGUAGCCACUGUGCUGCUCAGUCCCAGCGAGUGUCCACACUGACAGAGGUCUGCGUACCUGCUGCUUCAGUGUCUGUCUCAGCUGGAGGGCCCGAGGAGCCCACCCAGCACCACACCUCGUUAGCUGAGGGUCCUGGAGGACCCAGACAGCACGUCCUCCCGUCUGCUGGCGGUCCAGGGAGGUCUGUUCAGCCGUCACCUGCUGAAUCAUCCCCUGCGACAUCUACAUCACCGCCUGCAUCAUCUCCUGCAACAUCAUCUCCUGCAGCAUCCAUAUCACCGCCCGCAGCCGUCCCGCUGCUGUCAGGUUCCGCCUCUGUGUCUUCAUCCACACCUGGUCCAGCUUCAGCUCCGCCUUCAGCUCCACCUUCACCUGGUCCAGCUUCUGCUCCGCCUUCGCCUGGCCCUGGCCCUGCUCCGCCUUUGCCUGGCCCUGCCUCGCCUGGCCCUGCGGUUGCCACACCGUCAUGGGACCCAGCUCGUCCUGUUCUGCCUUCACUGUUGCCGUGUGCACGGUCGGCCUCCAGACCUGUUUUUCCCGUCGCCACCGUUGCCAUGUGCACGGUCGGCCCCUGA
Molecule: long non-coding RNA, 1749 nt
Filed under: Oreochromis niloticus (Nile tilapia)
Lineage: Eukaryota; Metazoa; Chordata; Actinopteri; Cichliformes; Cichlidae
Description: lncRNA (ENSONIG00000034555.1)
Source: RNAcentral